GGGUUGUGAGGUUAAGCGACUAAGCGUACACGGUGGAUGCCCUGGCAGUCAGAGGCGAUGAAGGACGUGCUAAUCUGCGAAAAGCGUCGGUAAGGUGAUAUGAACCGUUACAGCCGGCGAUGUCCGAAUGGGGAAACCCAGUGCAAUUCGUUGCACUAUCGUUAACUGAAUACAUAGGUUAACGAGGCGAACCGGGGGAACUGAAACAUCUAAGUACCCCGAGGAAAAGAAAUCAACCGAGAUUCCCCCAGUAGCGGCGAGCGAACGGGGAGCAGCCCAGAGUCUGAAUCAGCUUGUGUGUUAGUGGAACGGUCUGGAAAGUCCGACGGUACAGGGUGAUAGUCCCGUACACCAAAAUGCACAGGCUGUGAACUCGAAGAGUAGGGCGGGACACGUGGUAUCCUGUCUGAAUAUGGGGGGACCAUCCUCCAAGGCUAAAUACUCCUGACUGACCGAUAGUGAACCAGUACCGUGAGGGAAAGGCGAAAAGAACCCCGGCGAGGGGAGUGAAAAAGAACCUGAAACCGUGUACGUACAAGCAGUGGGAGCACCUCGGGUGUGACUGCGUACCUUUUGUAUAAUGGGUCAGCGACUUAUAUUCUGUAGCAAGGUUAACCGUAUAGGGGAGCCGCAGGGAAACCGAGUCUUAACUGGGCGUUAAGUUGCAGGGUAUAGACCCGAAACCCGGUGAUCUAGCCAUGGGCAGGUUGAAGGUUGGGUAACACUAACUGGAGGACCGAACCGACUAAUGUUGAAAAAUUAGCGGAUGACUUGUGGCUGGGGGUGAAAGGCCAAUCAAACCGGGAGAUAGCUGGUUCUCCCCGAAAGCUAUUUAGGUAGCGCCUCGUGAACUCAUCUUCGGGGGUAGAGCACUGUUUCGGCUAGGGGGUCAUCCCGACUUACCAACCCGAUGCAAACUACGAAUACCGAAGAAUGUUAUCACGGGAGACACACGGCGGGUGCUAACGUCCGUCGUGAAGAGGGAAACAACCCAGACCGCCAGCUAAGGUCCCAAAGUCACAGUUAAGUGGGAAACGAUGUGGGAAGGCACAGACAGCCAGGAUGUUGGCUUAGAAGCAGCCAUCAUUUAAAGAAAGCGUAAUAGCUCACUGGUCGAGUCGGCCUGCGCGGAAGAUGUAACGGGGCUAAACUGUGCACCGAAGCUGCGGCAGCGACACUAUGUGUUGUUGGGUAGGGGAGCGUUCUGUAAGCCUGCGAAGGUGGCCUGUGAGGGUUGCUGGAGGUAUCAGAAGUGCGAAUGCUGACAUAAGUAACGAUAAUGCGGGUGAAAAGCCCGCACGCCGGAAGACCAAGGGUUCCUGUCCAACGUUAAUCGGGGCAGGGUGAGUCGACCCCUAAGGCGAGGCCGAAAGGCGUAGUCGAUGGGAAACAGGUUAAUAUUCCUGUACUUGGUGUUACUGCGAAGGGGGGACGGAGAAGGCUAUGUUAGCCGGGCGACGGUUGUCCCGGUUUAAGCAUGUAGGCGGAGGUUCCAGGUAAAUCCGGUACCUUUUAACGCUGAGGUGUGAUGACGAGGCACUACGGUGCUGAAGUAACAAAUGCCCUGCUUCCAGGAAAAGCCUCUAAGCAUCAGGUAACAUUGAAUCGUACCCCAAACCGACACAGGUGGUCAGGUAGAGAAUACCAAGGCGCUUGAGAGAACUCGGGUGAAGGAACUAGGCAAAAUGGUGCCGUAACUUCGGGAGAAGGCACGCUGAUAUGUAGGUGAAGCCCCUGCGGGUGGAGCUGAAAUCAGUCGAAGAUACCAGCUGGCUGCAACUGUUUAUUAAAAACACAGCACUGUGCAAACACGAAAGUGGACGUAUACGGUGUGACGCCUGCCCGGUGCCGGAAGGUUAAUUGAUGGGGUUAUCCGUAAGGAGAAGCUCUUGAUCGAAGCCCCGGUAAACGGCGGCCGUAACUAUAACGGUCCUAAGGUAGCGAAAUUCCUUGUCGGGUAAGUUCCGACCUGCACGAAUGGCGUAAUGAUGGCCAGGCUGUCUCCACCCGAGACUCAGUGAAAUUGAACUCGCUGUGAAGAUGCAGUGUACCCGCGGCAAGACGGAAAGACCCCGUGAACCUUUACUAUAGCUUGACACUGAACAUUGAGCCUUGAUGUGUAGGAUAGGUGGGAGGCUUUGAAGCGUGGACGCCAGUCUGCGUGGAGCCAACCUUGAAAUACCACCCUUUAAUGUUUGAUGUUCUAACGUUGGCCCCUGACCGGGGUUGCGGACAGUGUCUGGUGGGUAGUUUGACUGGGGCGGUCUCCUCCCAAAGAGUAACGGAGGAGCACGAAGGUUAGCUAAUCCUGGUCGGACAUCAGGAGGUUAGUGCAAUGGCAUAAGCUAGCUUGACUGCGAGCGUGACGGCGCGAGCAGGUGCGAAAGCAGGUCAUAGUGAUCCGGUGGUUCUGAAUGGAAGGGCCAUCGCUCAACGGAUAAAAGGUACUCCGGGGAUAACAGGCUGAUACCGCCCAAGAGUUCAUAUCGACGGCGGUGUUUGGCACCUCGAUGUCGGCUCAUCACAUCCUGGGGCUGAAGUAGGUCCCAAGGGUAUGGCUGUUCGCCAUUUAAAGUGGUACGCGAGCUGGGUUUAGAACGUCGUGAGACAGUUCGGUCCCUAUCUGCCGUGGGCGCUGGAGAAUUGAGGGGGGCUGCUCCUAGUACGAGAGGACCGGAGUGGACGCAUCACUGGUGUUCGGGUUGUCAUGCCAAUGGCAUUGCCCGGUAGCUAAAUGCGGAAGAGAUAAGUGCUGAAAGCAUCUAAGCACGAAACUUGCCCCGAGAUGAGUUCUCCCUGACUCCUUGAGAGUCCUGAAGGAACGUUAAAGACGAUGACGUUGAUAGGUCGGAUGUGUAAGCGUAGCGAUACGUUGAGCUAACCGAUACUAAUGAACCGUGAGGCUUAACCUUACAACGCCGAAGGUGUUU
Molecule: ribosomal RNA, 2930 nt
Filed under: Klebsiella aerogenes
Lineage: Bacteria; Pseudomonadati; Pseudomonadota; Gammaproteobacteria; Enterobacterales; Enterobacteriaceae
Description: bacterial LSU rRNA
Rfam family: Bacterial large subunit ribosomal RNA
Source: RNAcentral